AACGCGAAGAACCUUACCUGGGCUCGAACGGCUUCUCAACGGUCGUGGAAACACGGCUACUCCGCAAGGGGGUGGAGUCGAGGUGCUGCAUGGCUGUCGUCAGCUCGUGUCGUGAGAUGUUGGGUUAAGUCCCGCAACGAGCGCAACCCUUGUCCUGUGUUGCUAACCGAAAGGUGCACUCUCAGGAGACCGCCAGCGAUAAGUUGGAGGAAGGUGGGGAUGACGUCAAGUCAUCAUGGCCUUUAUGUCCAGGGCUACACACGUGCUACAAUGGGCGGUACAAAGCGCUGCAAUCCCGCGAGGGAGAGCCAAUACGCAAAAAACCGUCCUCAGUUCGGAUUGCAGGCUGCAACUCGCCUGCAUGAAGCUGGAAUCGCUAGUAAUGGCGUAUCAGAAUGACGCCGUGAAUACGUUCCCGGGCCUUGUACACACCGUAGAGAC
Molecule: ribosomal RNA, 441 nt
Filed under: uncultured bacterium
Lineage: Bacteria
Description: bacterial SSU rRNA
Rfam family: Bacterial small subunit ribosomal RNA
Source: RNAcentral